Molecule: non-coding RNA, 1664 nt
Organism: Arachis ipaensis
Lineage: Eukaryota; Viridiplantae; Streptophyta; Magnoliopsida; Fabales; Fabaceae
Source: RefSeq, a predicted model, not a curated record
UCCGUCACAAAAGAGGUCGUUAAGUUGAAAAAAAAAAGAUAGUAUCUAAUUACCCAGCCUAACCCUAAGCCACCCCACUCCCCACCAUUCUCAUCUCCAAUCUUCUACUCGUCGUCUUCUUCCUCCCACGGAAACCGCCGCCUCAUCUCCUGCUUCCUCCACCCGCUCCGGCCAGGUUUGCCAGCUCACGGAGGAAGAAGCAAAUCAGAUUUGUUUUCAGGUUUUUUUUUUGUUCUCUGUUUUUGAUUCUUCGUUCUUUGAUCUGAUCUUACAACCCUUCCAAGAGAGAGAAAUCGAGUACUCCACACACACCCUGUUCUAUCAUAUGAACCUCUCUCUCUAAUACCAUCGUAAAAGUCUUCCGAUUAGGUUUUCGGACACAAAUUGUGGAACCUUCUUGCAUUUCACAAAUCGUCGAAACCGAGUCGCUUCAGGAUCCACCUCCCCCCGCCGACGACUACUCCGCCCUUGACAAUUCCGGCAGUGACCUCGAAGAAGACGAUAACCCACUCGCUUUCUAUCUUUGAAUUUUCUUCUGAUUUUUUAGCUCUGAUGUGCUUUAAUUAAUUGGCUUUCUUCUCUAAUAAAUUAUGAAAUUAUAAUUAGUUUAGCUAGUUCUUGUAAUUGAUAGUUUUGUUCCAAUAAUAUCCAGGGCAUUUAUAUUAGUCUAAAUUUCUUUUAGCAAGGUGCAUGUAGUUUAAUUUUCACUUAGGAAAGAAGAGGAGAGAUGGUAGGAGUGCUCUUCCUCAACCUUUGACUGUGAUUCAACGCGUUCAUAUCAGCCAGCUAGUUGAUAAAUAUGGAGAUGAUUACAAGGUUUGAUAUUGCUUUAUAUUUUCAGAACUAAUUCAAACAAAGUAAGUUGGGUUAAUAGUUUCUCUAAAAAUAAUUGUAUAUGCAAGGAUUUCUUUAAAUAUCUAGAAACUAGACAAUAUAAAAAGAAAUGAGGAAAGUUGCCUUUAGCGUGCGGAAUGUGAUAAUGGCAUAUUCUUCAAUUCCCCUGUGUCUGGGUUGGCCGGAUCACACAAGUUGAAGAGCGAAAAGCAGCUUGUCUUGCAGCUAAGAUAAUGCCAUUAUAGAAUCUUUUUAUUUUAUUUUUAUUUUUUAUGUUGGUUUAAAGUGGAUUAAUAUAUUAAGCUACUAAUAUUUUCAGGAUUUUCUUACAAGACAGAAACGACCAAAAUCUACAAGGAUAAUCAGGGUCAUUUAAAGUUAUGAACCACAUUCAUUUAAGUCUAAUUUUGACUCUUGGCUAUCAGGAUCCUCUAAUACUGGUGCUGAGGAUGGAAGAGAAAAAGUUGCAGGUGGACAUUGUUUCUUUUGAAGUAACAAGGAAUCGGUGUCAAAGGAAUGACAAAAAGUGCCCCAGUAAAUGAGGAAAUUUCACCUUUGCUUGGAGGAAGUGGAAAGUUGGAGGAAAGAAGAAGAAAAAAGUGUUGACAAAGAGAACUAGUUGAAGUGAAAUUAGAUAUAUAUGGUGUAGCAACGUCAAGCUUCCAAAGUCAGAAGAUCAAUGUAGAUUUACAGGCUUAGUGUUGUAAGAUAUGAGUAAUAAAUGUACCAUGAACCAUGAAUUUGGAUUGUGGAUUGUAAGCCAUCAAUGUAUAUUUGGAUUGUGGAUUAUAAAAUUUGAUGUAUUUAUGAAUUUUGUCUCUUUUAAUUUC